This 421-nucleotide ribosomal RNA is filed under the name Salmonella enterica subsp. enterica serovar Typhimurium. Its description in RNAcentral is "partial 23S ribosomal RNA". It matches the Rfam family "Bacterial large subunit ribosomal RNA", at positions 1189 to 1528 of the family's 2925-position model. The record is from RNAcentral. Lineage: Bacteria; Pseudomonadati; Pseudomonadota; Gammaproteobacteria; Enterobacterales; Enterobacteriaceae.
AUGCACCGAAGCUGCGGCAGCGAACGUAUCACCCAAGACAACUUUACGGAGUUGACGAUUGACGGAGCGAAGCGACGUCAAAGCGUUCAUUAAAGUCGAGUUGGCUUAGGGAUACGUUCGUUGGGUAGGGGAGCGUUCUGUAAGCCUGUGAAGGUGUGUCGUGAGGCAUGCUGGAGGUAUCAGAAGUGCGAAUGCUGACAUAAGUAACGAUAAAGCGGGUGAAAAGCCCGCUCGCCGGAAGACCAAGGGUUCCUGUCCAACGUUAAUCGGGGCAGGGUGAGUCGACCCCUAAGGCGAGGCCGAAAGGCGUAGUCGAUGGGAAACGGGUUAAUAUUCCCGUACUUGGUGUUACUGCGAAGGGGGGACGGAGAAGGCUAUGUUGGCCGGGCGACGGUUGUCCCGGUUUAAGCGUGUAGGUGUG